RNAcentral lists this ribosomal RNA (356 nucleotides) under uncultured Desulfobulbus sp. Its description in RNAcentral is "bacterial SSU rRNA". It matches the Rfam family "Bacterial small subunit ribosomal RNA", at positions 1028 to 1382 of the family's 1533-position model. Lineage: Bacteria; Pseudomonadati; Thermodesulfobacteriota; Desulfobulbia; Desulfobulbales; Desulfobulbaceae. The record is from RNAcentral.
CUGGAGACAGGUGCUGCAUGGCUGUCGUCAGCUCGUGUCGUGAGAUGUUGGGUUAAGUCCCGCAACGAGCGCAACCCUUGCCUUUAGUUGCCAGCAGUUCGGCUGGGCGACUCUAAAGGGACUGCCGGUGUUAAACCGGAGGAAGGUGGGGGAUGACGUCAAGUCCUCAUGGCCUUUAUGACCAGGGCUACACACGUACUACAAUGGCCGAUACAAAGGGCAGCGACACUGCGAGGUGAAGCCAAUCCCGUAAAAUCGGUCUCAGUCCGGAUUGGAGUCUGCAACUCGACUCCAUGAAGUUGGAAUCGCUAGUAAUCGUGGAUCAGCAUGCCACGGUGAAUACGUUCCCGGGCCUU